GAAGAGAUAAGUGCUGAAAGCAUCUAAGCACGAAACUUGCCCCGAGAUGAGUUCUCCCUGAGACUUUAGGUCUCCUGAAGGAACGUUGAAGACGACGACGUUGAUAGGCCGGGUGUGUAAGCGCAGCGAUGCGUUGAGCUAACCGGUACUAAUGAACCGUGAGGCUUAACCUUAC
RNAcentral lists this ribosomal RNA (175 nucleotides) under Salmonella enterica subsp. enterica serovar Agona str. SH08SF124. Its description in RNAcentral is "partial 23S ribosomal RNA". It matches the Rfam family "Bacterial large subunit ribosomal RNA", at positions 2758 to 2925 of the family's 2925-position model. Lineage: Bacteria; Pseudomonadati; Pseudomonadota; Gammaproteobacteria; Enterobacterales; Enterobacteriaceae. The record is from RNAcentral.